UCUGACCAGCCAUGCCGCGUGCAGGAAGACGGCCCUACGGGUUGUAAACUGCUUUUAUACCGGAAUAAACCUAUUUACGUGUAAAUAGCUGAAUGUACGGUAAGAAUAAGGAUCGGCUAACUCCGUGCCAGCAGCCGCGGUAAUACGGAGGAUCCAAGCGUUAUCCGGAUUUAUUGGGUUUAAAGGGUGCGUAGGUGGCCUGUUAAGUCAGGGGUGAAAGACGGUAGCUCAACUAUCGCAGUGCCCUUGAUACUGAUGGGCUUGAAUGGACUAGAGGUAGGCGGAAUGUGACAAGUAGCGGUGAAAUGCAUAGAUAUGUCACAGAACACCGAUUGCGAAGGCAGCUUACUAUGGUCCGAUUGACACUGAGGCACGAAAGCGUGGGGAUCAAACAGGAUUAGAUACCCUGGUAGUCCACGCCCUAAACGAUGAAUACUCGAUGUUGGCGAUAUACGGUCAGCGUCUAAGCGAAAGCGUUAAGUAUUCCACCUGGGGAGUACGCCCGCAAGGGUGAAACUCAAAGGAAUUGACGGGGGCCCGCACAAGCGGAGGAGCAUGUGGUUUAAUUCGAUGAUACGCGAGGAACCUUACCCGGGCUUGAAAGUUAGUGAAUGUAGCAGAGACGCUACAGUC
Molecule: ribosomal RNA, 633 nt
Filed under: Mucilaginibacter sp. Ri1Ps_4711
Lineage: Bacteria; Pseudomonadati; Bacteroidota; Sphingobacteriia; Sphingobacteriales; Sphingobacteriaceae
Description: bacterial SSU rRNA
Rfam family: Bacterial small subunit ribosomal RNA
Source: RNAcentral